RNAcentral lists this transfer RNA (65 nucleotides) under Conocephalus gladiatus. RNAcentral's name for it is "tRNA-Thr". It matches the Rfam family "tRNA". Rfam says of the family: Transfer RNA (tRNA) molecules are approximately 80 nucleotides in length. Their secondary structure includes four short double-helical elements and three loops (D, anti-codon, and T loops). Lineage: Eukaryota; Metazoa; Arthropoda; Insecta; Orthoptera; Tettigoniidae. The record is from RNAcentral.
GUUUUAGUAGUUUACUUAAAACACUGGUCUUGUAAACCAGAAAAAAGAUCAUUUCUUCUAAAACU